UGUUUAUCAAAAACAUCGCCUCUNCGNCNNANAUUUAAGGUUAAACCUCGCCCAAUGUAUAAUAUGAUGAAUGGCCGCGGUACUUUGACCGUGCUAAGGUAGCGCAAUCAAUUGGCUUUUAAUUGGAGCCAGGUAUGAAUGGAGUUACGGAGUUUGGCUGUCUCUUAAUUAUUUUAUCGAAAUUACUAUGUAGGUGAAAAAGCCUACUAUUAGAAAAAGGACGAGAAGACCCUUAGAGUUUUUCCAAAAUUGGAUAUACAUUUAGUUUCCAAAGCAGUUUAGUUGGGGCAACAUAGGAGCAGUAACAGACUAAAAAUCUCCUAAAAAUAACAAAUCGAUUAUUUUAGAUGUGAAUAAACUNCCUUAGGGAUAACAGCAUAAUUUUAUAAAUAAGUUUGUGACCUCGAUGUUGGACUAGGANACUAUAAGGCUAGCCGCCUUUUAGGCAAGUUCUGUUCGAGACUAUUAAUUCCUACGUGAUCUGAGUUCAGACC
This 494-nucleotide ribosomal RNA is filed under the name Triopha catalinae. RNAcentral describes it as "partial 16S ribosomal RNA". It matches the Rfam family "Bacterial large subunit ribosomal RNA", at positions 1801 to 2617 of the family's 2925-position model. Lineage: Eukaryota; Metazoa; Mollusca; Gastropoda; Nudibranchia. The record is from RNAcentral.